This is a long non-coding RNA of Labrus mixtus (cuckoo wrasse), 765 nucleotides long. RefSeq lists it as uncharacterized. NCBI's taxonomy places the organism in Eukaryota, Metazoa, Chordata, Actinopteri, Labriformes, Labridae. The transcript has 2 exons. The record is from RefSeq and is a predicted model, not a curated record.
AUAUGUGAGAAUAUACCACAUUCACACACCAUUCACCCCUGCAUCACCUCCUUCCUUCUCAUUUUCUCCUGGAGUUGGCUGCUCCACCCAAAACAACACACAUGUACAGGAGUCUGCUCUCCCUCCCUCUACUCCCAGACCAAAGUUUGUGAGCUAUGAAACUCAUUUGUAUCGUUACCCAGCUCUGACAACCUGCCCAUCUUGUCAGACUCAAAAAUCACCACUCAGGUCACCUUUAAAGUUGAUAUUCACACGUGGCUCAUGUGUGAGAACGGACUCAUUCAAACUGCUUUAUCUGUUUAAUCCUAUUACCAAGCAUCAAACACACACACACACACACACACACACACACACACACGCUCACUCAUAAGGCAAAGACUGAUGUGUUUUAUCUGUCUCACAGGUUGCUGUUUGGAUGCUGCCUGAUUCCAUUUUUUGUUAACCAUUUCAAGGACGCCUAUCACACAUGUCCUCGCUGUCGACGGGUCCUUCAAGUACACAAGAAGACGUGUUGUGAAUGAACACAAAUGAGUCGAUCUAAUGUGUCUUCUCAUAGUAGCAAAAAGUUCAAACUAAUUAUUGCAGUAAAAUGUGUGCAUGCCUGUUUCAAAGUCAGUCAGAAUGACACAAGUAUUAGGAUUUAUAUGUCUAAAUAAAUAAUAUGUAGAAACCUGUUAGUUCCCAGAAUAUACAAAUCUGAGAUUUUUAACUUUAUUUUAAUCAUGUUUUGUAACAAAACCAUUCAAAUAAAUGUUUCUAUGGCAA